This is a long non-coding RNA of Spinacia oleracea (spinach), 1749 nucleotides long. RefSeq lists it as uncharacterized. The transcript has 7 exons. The record is from RefSeq and is a predicted model, not a curated record. NCBI's taxonomy places the organism in Eukaryota, Viridiplantae, Streptophyta, Magnoliopsida, Caryophyllales, Amaranthaceae.
CGAACAAAAGAUUUCCCAAAAAUAUUUAUAUUUCCCGCUUCUCCUCCUUCCUAUUCUCUGGUUCUCUGUUUUUCCCGCUUCUCCUCCUUCCCCUCCCUGGUUCUCUGCUCCUUCUCCUUCUCCUUCUAUACUUUCGCGAAAUUCAACAGUCCCUUCAUCUUCUCUACUUUCGCGAAAUUCAACACUCACAGCAGACACCGCACGACUAGCGCCGCCGCCGCUGCUGUUCCCCCAACCGCCAAACGCUUCAUCUUCCCGCCACGUCGCCGCUGCUGUUCCCCCACCGCCGAAUUCUUCCUCUUCUCGUCGCCGCCGCAGCACACACGCGUCGCUCUUCCUUAUCGCUAAACAAAACCCUAAAAAAUCACCAAACCCUAGAUAUUUUUGCAAUUGCUUCAAUUAAGAAUGCCUAAUUUGUCAAGGCUUUUCGAUUGCGUGCUCGUUUUGCUUCUACCUUCUUCCAGAUCGAACUAAUCCAGAUACCUCAGUGACAAUCACAUUGGGGGUACCAGUCUUGCCAAUUUAUCUUCCCAUUGUGAGGACCUUGUUCUUUUCUGAUAAUCAGUUCACUGGAGCCUGGAGGCACUUAUGACUUGUCUGUAUUAAGUCAAUUGAUAGACUAAAUUUUCUGAUCUGUUAUUGUGUCGCGGAAGUGUCAAGGAAUUUUUUUUGAGCCAUGGAGGAAGUUAUUGAAAAACAAGGGGUGUGAAUUUCGUAGAGGCAGAGGAGUUACAGAUUUCUUCUUCAGUGAAGAAACAGGUUGUGUUUCAGAAGUACUGGGUGGGAAUGACAGAAUAAAAGCUGAUGCAGUGAUCUUGGCUGUGGGUAUCUCCAGCCUUCAGGAAAUCAUACAAAGAAGCUCAGCAUUAUGUACUAGGGAGGAGUUUCAGAAAGUUUUGAACUUGGCCUGCAUUUAUACGCUUUCUGUUAAGCUUCAUCUUUAUCGAAAGAUUAACAUCCUGAACGCAUGCAACGCUUGCUCGGGAUUUGAUGCAUUAAGUGGGUGGACUUUCUACAACUUGAAUGCUAUCUACCAGGAACAUGAAAAUGAUGAAACAACAAUCUUACGGGCUGACUUUGUACCCAUAUCAACAAUGGAGGUCACUGGCUCAAGAAUUGGAACUGGAUGCCGCCUAUUGACAAAGGUACAUUGGCCAUAAAGGAGGUGAAAAGAAUAAAUACAUUUGGAGGCUUUUCAAAGACAUCCUCAAUUUUCUAUUAUCCUACCCAGUGUAUAAAAAGGCGUGAAAAAGACGCGCCUAGGCUCUAAGGCGCAAGGGGUUUGGAGCCAUCGCCUUUUAUUGUCUGGGCGAGGCGAUUUUGAUGAGGCGCACCUUGAGGCGCAAAAAGGCGCACCUCCUGAGGCACACACCAUUUUUUCACACUUUUUUUAACUUUUUAUCAGGGCGCCUCACUUCAAUGAGGCACGCCUAAGGCGCUGAGAACUCCAAAUCGCCUUGGUACGCCUUGAGCCUUUUUAUACAUUGAUCCUACCAAAAGUGAAAGUCAUUUUAGGCCUGAGUUUCUUGCCAUCUGUCUGUUGCUUUUUACAAGCUUUUUAACUGUAAAAAUUACUUUUGGGAAGCUUAUCUAUCGUAAAACUUUCAGAAGCUUGUUCUCUAAGUUUCAUCGUGUUAGAUCAAUUGUUUGCCCUUUGCAUGUACAGAUGAUUGAAAUUUGAAUAUGUGUGUCGGUUACGGAGGAAACAUGUCUUACUUUUAUUGUGUUAAGCUAUCUACUAUACUGUAA